AGAGUUUGAUCCUGGCUCAGAUUGAACGCUGGCGGCAUGCCUUACACAUGCAAGUCGAACGGCAGCGCGGGGGCAACCCUGGCGGCGAGUGGCGAACGGGUGAGUAAUACAUCGGAACGUGUCCUGGAGUGGGGGAUAGCCCGGCGAAAGCCGGAUUAAUACCGCAUACGCUCUGAGGAGGAAAGCGGGGGAUCUUCGGACCUCGCGCUCAAGGGGCGGCCGAUGGCGGAUUAGCUGGUUGGUGGGGUAAAGGCCCACCAAGGCGACGAUCCGUAGCUGGUCUGAGAGGACGACCAGCCACACUGGGACUGAGACACGGCCCAGACUCCUACGGGAGGCAGCAGUGGGGAAUUUUGGACAAUGGGGGCAACCCUGAUCCAGCAAUGCCGCGUGUGUGAAGAAGGCCUUCGGGUUGUAAAGCACUUUUGUCCGGAAAGAAAUCCUCUGGGUGAAUACCCCGGGGGGAUGACGGUACCGGAAGAAUCAGCACCGGCUAACUACGUGCCAGCAGCCGCGGUAAUACGUAGGGUGCGAGCGUUAAUCGGAAUUACUGGGCGUAAAGCGUGCGCAGGCGGUGCUGUAAGACCGAUGUGAAAUCCCCGGGCUUAACCUGGGAACUGCAUUGGUGACUGCAGCGCUGGAGUAUGGCAGAGGGGGGUGGAAUUCCACGUAGCAGUGAAAUGCGUAGAGAUGUGGAGGAACACCGAUGGCGAAGGCAGCCCCCUGGGCCAAUACUGACGCUCAUGCACGAAAGCGUGGGGAGCAAACAGGAUUAGAUACCCCCGUAGUCC
RNAcentral lists this ribosomal RNA (791 nucleotides) under uncultured bacterium. RNAcentral describes it as "bacterial SSU rRNA". It matches the Rfam family "Bacterial small subunit ribosomal RNA", at positions 8 to 796 of the family's 1533-position model. The record is from RNAcentral.